This 219-nucleotide unclassified non-coding RNA is filed under the name Hevea brasiliensis (rubber tree). The record is from RNAcentral. Lineage: Eukaryota; Viridiplantae; Streptophyta; Magnoliopsida; Malpighiales; Euphorbiaceae.
UGCUGACAGAAAUAAACGACCCUGUACAGAUACAACAUCAAGUCAAGAACUGAAGAAGCAAGCGUCACUUUGACUCAUAAAAGGCCAAAAUGCCAUUUCACUCUGUACAGCAUAUAGGAAUAAAUGGACUAUCAGAAGAGGGAGGGCUUAUCAAAAGAAUUCAACAUGCUAAAUGAACACCAACAGGCAACAGCACCUGCAAGAGCAUUUUUCGCUUUA